UCUCUCUCUUUACAUGUGUACAUAAAUGCAAUGAAAAACCUUGUUCACCAUUAGGCAUCUACCAAACUCACUGUGAGUUACUCACACUACAGUUAUCCACUUAUACAACAUUCAAGUUCCUUGUGUCUCAAUACUUUUUUGGAAAUGAAAAGUGGUACCAAAGUAAGAAAAUCUAUUACAAUAGCUGUUCUUCCUGUGGCUUUUCUAUUCUUGCUUUCUUUUGUAGCUUGUACAGGACCAUUGAGGUGGAUUCUUCUAUCAAGCUAUCUCAUCUACUACCUAUCUUUGUCUUUAUGGAUUUUGGCUGCAUUGCAUACUACAUGACAUUCAAUCCAUCUACCAAAUUGAGGGAUUUUCCAUCAUUCACUAUCUCUAUUUUCUUGGUUUUGUUAUCGAGGGAUCAAUCUCUUACUUUUUUUGUUUUCCUUCAACCUCGUUGAAAGAAUCAACAAUCUCGUUGUGUACUGAAGCAUAAAGAGGAUAAUGUGUUUAUAUUCAUUUUCAGCAUGUUAAUUUAAACAAACUAUGUCUUCAAUCUUCUCCAGCUCUUUUGGGUUGGGUUUCAAUGCA
Long non-coding RNA from Solanum tuberosum (potato), 570 nucleotides. RefSeq lists it as uncharacterized. The record is from RefSeq and is a predicted model, not a curated record. The transcript has 2 exons. Lineage: Eukaryota; Viridiplantae; Streptophyta; Magnoliopsida; Solanales; Solanaceae.